RNAcentral lists this ribosomal RNA (497 nucleotides) under uncultured bacterium. RNAcentral's name for it is "partial 16S ribosomal RNA". It matches the Rfam family "Bacterial small subunit ribosomal RNA", at positions 28 to 507 of the family's 1533-position model. The record is from RNAcentral.
GAUGAGCGCUGGCGGCGUGCCUAAUACAUGCAAGUCGAGCGAACGGACGAGAAGCUUGCUUCUCUGAUGUUAGCGGCGGACGGGUGAGUAACACGUGGAUAACCUACCUAUAAGACUGGGAUAACUUCGGGAAACCGGAGCUAAUACCGGAUGAUAUUUUGAACCGCAUGGUUCAAAAGUGAAAGACGGUCUUGCUGUCACUUAUAGAUGGAUCCGCGCUGCAUUAGCUAGUUGGUAAGGUAACGGCUUACCAAGGCAACGAUGCAUAGCCGACCUGAGAGGGUGAUCGGCCACACUGGAACUGAGACACGGUCCAGACUCCUACGGGAGGCAGCAGUAGGGAAUCUUCCGCAAUGGGCGAAAGCCUGACGGAGCAACGCCGCGUGAGUAAUGAAGGUCUUCGGAUCGUAAAACUCUGUUAUUAGGGAAGAACAUAUGUGUAAGUAACUGUGCACAUCUUGACGGUACCUAAUCAGAAAGCCACGGCUAACUACGUG